RNAcentral lists this ribosomal RNA (256 nucleotides) under uncultured bacterium. RNAcentral's name for it is "partial 16S ribosomal RNA". It matches the Rfam family "Bacterial small subunit ribosomal RNA", at positions 524 to 776 of the family's 1533-position model. The record is from RNAcentral.
UACGUAGGGGGGCAAGCGUUGUCCGGAUUUAUUGGGCGUAAAGAGCGUGUAGGCGGCCAGAUAGGUCUGCUGUGAAAACUCGAGGCUCAACCUCGAGAUGUCGGCGGAAACCAUUUGGCUAGAGUCCGGAAGAGGAAAGUGGAAUUCCUGGUGUAGCGGUGAAAUGCGCAGAUAUCAGGAGGAACACCAAUUGCGAAGGCAGCUCGCUGGGACGUUACUGACGCUGAGACGCGAAAAGCGUGGGGGAGCAAACAGG